Molecule: unclassified non-coding RNA, 1356 nt
Filed under: uncultured Neocallimastigales
Lineage: Eukaryota; Fungi; Neocallimastigomycota; Neocallimastigomycetes; Neocallimastigales
Description: partial contains internal transcribed spacer 1, 5.8S ribosomal RNA, internal transcribed spacer 2, and large subunit ribosomal RNA
Rfam family: Eukaryotic large subunit ribosomal RNA (bases 592-1356)
Source: RNAcentral
AAAAUAAUCCUACCCUUUGUGAAUUUUGUUUGUUUGAAUAAUUUUUUUUUUAAAAAAUUAUUGGAGUCUUUCCUUUAGAGUUUGCUUUUGAGUUUGUAAAAGAAUUCGAAAACAUCUAAAGGGGAUGGUCAAUAAUUUUUUUGAAAAAAGACAUUUUUUAAAAUUAAACUUUUUGUAUUCAUUUGUCUAAAAAUUAUUUUUAUAAUAUAAAAACAACUUUUGACAAUGGAUCUCUUGGUUCUCGCAACGAUGAAGAACGCAGCAAAAUGCGAUAAGUAGUGUGAAUUGCAGAAUACGUGAAUCAUCGAAUCUUUGAACGCAUAUUGCACUUUUUUAGUUUACUAAAAAAGUAUGUCUGUUUGAGUAUCAGUAAAAUAUUCUCAUAAAAAUCAUUGUGUAUUUUUAUGUUAUGAGUGUUUUACAACGAUACAAGUUGUUUCACUUUAAAUUUUUUUUAAUAUUGAAAUUUUUCUAAUUUUAAUAAUUAAAAUUGGAUAAAAUUUUCCCGUCAAAAGGAAUAACCUAAACAAUUUUAAAUGGUUAAUUUUAGCAAAAUUUUCGUAAAAAAGGAAAAUUUUUAUUAAAAUAACUUGAUCUCAAAUCAGAUAAGAGUACCCGCUGAACUUAAGCAUAUCAAUAAGCGGAGGAAAAGAAACUAACAAGGAUUCCCUUAGUAACGGCGAGUGAAGCGGGAAGAGCUCAAAUUUGAAAUCUUCAAGGUUUUACCUUGACGAAUUGUAGUUUAAAGAAGGUUUUCUGCUGAAGUUUUGGUAAAAGUUCUUUGGAAUAGGACAUCAUAGAGGUGAGAAUCCCGUAUUUGACCAUUAUUUUCAGCUUUGUGAUACACUUUCAAAGAGUCGGAUUGUUUGGGAAUGCAGUCCAAAAUGGGUGGUAAAUUUCAUCUAAAGCUAAAUAUUGGCGAGAGACCGAUAGCGAACAAGUACCGUGAGGAAAGAUGAAAAGAACUUUGAAAAGAGAGUUAAACAGUACGUGAAAUUGUCAAAAGGGAAGCGUUGACACCAGUGUUGUUUUCUCGAAAAUCAAUUAAAAAUGGCUCGAUUUGUAUUGCUGAGACCUUAAAAGCUCACUGUACAUUUUUCGUGUCUUUUUUAAUGCACUUUUCGUUUAACAAGUCAACAUCAGUUUCUUUUGUUGUAAAAGGUCAUUGGAAGGUGGCUUUCUUUCGGAGAAAGUGUUUUAGCCUUUGGCCUCUGCAAUCGAGAGACUGAGGUCUGCAGCGUAGACUCUUCGGGUUAGAUACAUUUGUGCUAAGUUAUAGCUUUUUAUAGACAACUUGUUGACUAUAAUUAGUCUUGUAGCUUACUCGCUUAUGCUAUUUUACCUACGCUUAGGAUG